AAAAGUCGAACAGACUUAAAUUAAAGAAUUCUGCUUCUUUAAUUUUUCUUAAUUCAACAUCGAGGUCGCAAAAACUAAUAUAGAUAUGAACUCCCCAUUGAAAUUACGCUGUUAUCCCUAAGGUAACUUAAUCUUAUUAUCCAUCAUUGGGAUCAAAAUAAACACCUAUAAAUGAAAAAGAAAAUUAAAGUUAAUAAUUUAAUUACCACCCCAGCAAAAAUAAAUCAAUUAAUAAUAAAAUAUUAUAAAUAAAAACUUAUUAUAAAUUCUUAAUUAAAGUUCUAUAGGGUCUUAUCGUCCCAAGAAAAUAAUUAAGCAUUUUUACUUAAAAUUAAAAUUUUAAAAAUUAAAUAAAUAAAAUAUAAAUCUCAUACAUCCAUUCAUACCAGCUUCUAAUUAAGAAACUAAUUAUUAUGCUACCUUUGCACAGUCAAAAUACUGCAGCCAUUUAAAUUUUCAUAGGGCAGAAGAUACUUUUUACAUAAGCA
Molecule: ribosomal RNA, 488 nt
Filed under: Mimotettix sp. GMB-2012
Lineage: Eukaryota; Metazoa; Arthropoda; Insecta; Hemiptera; Cicadellidae
Description: partial 16S ribosomal RNA
Source: RNAcentral